UGGUGAAGGGCUGCGCGGGUGCAGGCAGCGCUAUGCUGAGGCCCGGCUUGGCCCCCCGUGCGCCCUCCUCCCCACCCUGGGGCCUCAGCAGGUCCAGGCUGCCCGGCGACUGCAGUAGCGAGUUUGGUGACGUGCCCUGCACACAGACACGCUGAGUGAAUGGUUGUGUCUGCUCUGUGACUUGGCAAGCACGAGACAGCGCAUCAACAGUGAAUGAGCUUCCGUUGGAUAGAUAGGACACGCAUGUCCAGCAGGAUGGCCAGGUGCAAGGGAGUAACUGUGCAAUCGCCACCCUUGGAGGCCCUUCAGGGGGAUCCGCACAUGACGUUAGGUGAAGAUCACCCUGGGCCCUUAAUGCUCAUGUGAGAGCACCAUAAAUCCAAGUGCUAGGAGAUUAUUGGCGUGUGUAAGGCUGGCAGGGAGGGGCGCACGGAUGGGUCGCUGUGGGCGACGUCGGCUUCGGCCUGGAGAGCUUGGAAAAGGACGUCGAACUCGUGGGAGAUUCGCGUGUAUGCGCGCUCGCUCUUGGGCGACAGCGGGAACUUGGCGCCCUCGCCCAGGCCCAGCGGCUUCAGAAUGUCCGUCGCGCCUUGCGCCAGGAAGCUG
RNAcentral lists this long non-coding RNA (606 nucleotides) under Coccomyxa subellipsoidea. RNAcentral's name for it is "long non-coding RNA (CSUB_LNC000385)". The record is from RNAcentral. Lineage: Eukaryota; Viridiplantae; Chlorophyta; Trebouxiophyceae; Coccomyxaceae.